Molecule: ribosomal RNA, 508 nt
Filed under: uncultured bacterium
Lineage: Bacteria
Description: partial 16S ribosomal RNA
Rfam family: Bacterial small subunit ribosomal RNA
Source: RNAcentral
GACGAACGCUGGCGGCGUGCUUAACACAUGCAAGUCGAACGGGCCUUGUCCCCUUUUUUUUUGGGGGUGGGGUUAGUGGCGAACGGGUGAGUAACACGUGAGUAACCUGCCCCUCACUUCUGGAUAACCGCUUGAAAGGGUGGCUAAUACGGGGUGUUCUGGCCUGCUCGCAUGGGUGGGUUUGGAAAGAUUCGACCGGUUUUGGUUGUUUUGGUGGGGGAUGGGCUCGCGGCCUAUCAGCUUGUUGGUGGGGUGAUGGCCUGCCAAGGCUUUGACGGGUGGCCGGCCUGAGAGGGGGGGCGGUCACACUGGGACUGAGACACGGCCCAGACUCCUACGGGGGGCAGCAGUGGGGAAUAUUGCACAAUGGGCGCAAGCCUGAUGCAGCGACGCCGCGUGAGGGAUGGAGGCCUUCGGGUUGUGAACCUCUUUCGCCAGUGAAGAAGGUCCUGCUCUUUGUGGUGGGGUUGACGGUAGCUGGGUUAAUGAAGCGCCGGCUAACUACGUG